Regulatory RNA element from Sinorhizobium fredii NGR234, 79 nucleotides. It matches the Rfam family "chrB-a RNA". NCBI's taxonomy places the organism in Bacteria, Pseudomonadati, Pseudomonadota, Alphaproteobacteria, Hyphomicrobiales, Rhizobiaceae. The record is from Rfam.
UCCAUGGGGUAAGCGAAUGCCCCACGAGGCGUCAUGCUGGAAUUUCGCGUCCAACAGCAAUCAAGGACGUCGUAUCAUG